CAGCAGCCGCGGGAAUACGUAGGUGGCGAGCGUUGUCCGGAUUUAUUGGGCGUAAAGGGAGUGUAGGCGGUUAGAUAAGUCUGAUGUGAAAGCCCCCGGCUCAACCGGGGAGGGUCAUUGGAAACUGGGAAACUUGAGUGCAGAAGAGGAGAGUGGAAUUCCACGUGUAGCGGUGAAAUGCGUAGAGAUGUGGAGGAACACCAGUGGCGAAGGCGACUCUCUGGUCUGUAACUGACGCUGAGGAGCGAAAGCGUGGGGAGCGAACAGGAUUAGAUACCCGCGUAGUCCCUGUCUCUUUACC
This 301-nucleotide ribosomal RNA is filed under the name uncultured bacterium. RNAcentral's name for it is "partial 16S ribosomal RNA". It matches the Rfam family "Bacterial small subunit ribosomal RNA", at positions 509 to 808 of the family's 1533-position model. The record is from RNAcentral.